RNAcentral lists this ribosomal RNA (220 nucleotides) under uncultured bacterium. Its description in RNAcentral is "partial 16S ribosomal RNA". It matches the Rfam family "Bacterial small subunit ribosomal RNA", at positions 113 to 334 of the family's 1533-position model. The record is from RNAcentral.
CAACGUGGGAACGUGCCCUUUGGUUCGGAACAACUCAGGGAAACUUGAGCUAAUACCGAAUGUGCCCCCAUCCUUAAACAAGAUGGGUGGGAAAGAUUUAUCGCCAUUGGAGCGGCCCGCGUCUGAUUAGCUAGUUGGUGAGGUAAAGGCUCACCAAGGCGACGAUCAGUAGCUGGUCUGAGAGGAUGAUCAGCCACACUGGGACUGAGACACGGCCCAG